AUGAAGAACGUAGCGAAAUGCGAUAAGUAAUGUGAAUUGCAGAAUCCAGUGAAUCAUCGAAUCUUUGAACGCACAUUGCGCCCGCCAGCAUUCUGGCGGGCAUGCCUGUUCGAGCGUCAUUUCAACCCUCGACCUCCCUUUGGGGAAGUCGGCGUUGGGGACCGGCAGCACACCGCCGGCCCUGAAAUGGAGUGGCGGCCCGUCCGCGGCGACCUCUGCGUAGUAAACCAACUCGCACCGGAACCCCGACGUGGCCACGCCGUAAAACACCCAACUUCUGAACGUUGACCUCGAAUCAGGUAGGACUACCCGCUGAACUUAAGCAUAUCAAUAAGCGGAGGA
RNAcentral lists this unclassified non-coding RNA (342 nucleotides) under soil metagenome. RNAcentral's name for it is "partial contains 5.8S ribosomal RNA, internal transcribed spacer 2, and large subunit ribosomal RNA". The stretch from base 1 to 119 matches the Rfam family "5.8S ribosomal RNA", at positions 36 to 154 of the family's 154-position model. The record is from RNAcentral.